CCUACGGGAGGCUGCAGUGGGGAAUAUUGCACAAUGGGCGCAAGCCUGAUGCAGCCAUGCCGCGUGUGUGAAGAAGGCCUUCGGGUUGUAAAGCACUUUCAGCGGGGAGGAAGGCGGUGAGGUUAAUAACCUCAUCGAUUGACGUUACCCGCAGAAGAAGCACCGGCUAACUCCGUGCCAGCAGCCGCGGUAAUACGGAGGGUGCAAGCGUUAAUCGGAAUUACUGGGCGUAAAGCGCACGCAGGCGGUCUGUCAAGUCGGAUGUGAAAUCCCCGGGCUCAACCUGGGAACUGCAUUCGAAACUGGCAGGCUAGAGUCUUGUAGAGGGGGGGAGAAUUCCAGGUGUAGCGGUGAAAUGCGUAGAGAUCUGGAGGAAUACCGGUGGCGAAGGCGGCCCCCUGGACAAAGACUGACGCUCAGGUGCGAAAGCGUGGGGAGCAAACAGGAUUAGAUACCCUGUAGUC
Molecule: ribosomal RNA, 464 nt
Filed under: uncultured Klebsiella sp.
Lineage: Bacteria; Pseudomonadati; Pseudomonadota; Gammaproteobacteria; Enterobacterales; Enterobacteriaceae
Description: bacterial SSU rRNA
Rfam family: Bacterial small subunit ribosomal RNA
Source: RNAcentral